GCCAGACUCCUACGGGAGGCAGCAGUGGGGGAUAUUGCACAAUGGGGGGAACCCUGAUGCAGCGACGCCGCGUGGGUGAAGGAGCGUUUCGGCGCGUAAAGCCCUAUCGGCAGGGAAGAAGGAGGACGGUACCUGACUAAGAAGCCCCGGCUAACUACGUGCCAGCAGCCGCGGUAAUACGUAGGGGGCAAGCGUUAUCCGGAUUUACUGGGUGUAAAGGGGGCGCAGACGGCAGCGCAAGCCAGGAGUGAAAGCCCGGGGCCCAACCCCGGGACUGCUCUUGGAACUGCGCGGCUGGAGUGCAGGAGGGGCAGGCGGAAUUCCUGGUGUAGCGGUGAAAUGCGUAGAUAUCAGGAGGAACACCGGCGGCGAAGGCGGCCUGCUGGACCGUGACUGACGUUGAGGCUCGAGAGCGUGGGGAGCAAACAGGAUUAGAUACCCCGGUACGG
Molecule: ribosomal RNA, 449 nt
Filed under: uncultured bacterium
Lineage: Bacteria
Description: partial 16S ribosomal RNA
Rfam family: Bacterial small subunit ribosomal RNA
Source: RNAcentral